AUUGAACGCUGGCGGCAUGCUUUACACAUGCAAGUCGAACGGCAGCGCGGGCUUCGGCCUGGCGGCGAGCGGCGAACGGGUGAGUAAUACAUCGGAACGUGCCCAGUAGUGGGGGAUAGCUCGGCGAAAGCCGGAUUAAUACCGCAUACGACCUGAGGGUGAAAGCGGGGGAUCUUCGGACCUCGCGCUAUUGGAGCGGCCGAUGGCAGAUUAGCUAGUUGGUGGGGUAAAGGCCUACCAAGGCGACGAUCUGUAGCUGGUCUGAGAGGACGACCAGCCACACUGGGACUGAGACACGGCCCAGACUCCUACGGGAGGCAGCAGUGGGGAAUUUUGGACAAUGGGCGAAAGCCUGAUCCAGCAAUGCCGCGUGUGUGAUGAAGGCCUUCGGGUUGUAAAGCACUUUUGGCGGGAACGAAAAGGACUGUGCCAAUACCACGGCUCGAUGACGGUACCCGCAGAAUAAGCACCGGCUAACUACGUG
This 484-nucleotide ribosomal RNA is filed under the name uncultured bacterium. RNAcentral's name for it is "partial 16S ribosomal RNA". It matches the Rfam family "Bacterial small subunit ribosomal RNA", at positions 29 to 507 of the family's 1533-position model. The record is from RNAcentral.